AGGGAGCUCUCCUUAAGUAUUACCCUCAACGUGCAUUUCUGACUUUGAGGUUACGCUGUAUCUGAAGUGAUCUGUAUCCCCCGAUAGGUAUGAUAGAGGAUAGAAAGUAUGAGAUCCCAAGCCGUAUCGAGUGCGACGGUUAUCGAGGUACGUUGAAAUACGUCGGACCCGUUGGGACCAUCAAGGGAGAGUGGUUAGGCGUAGACUGGGACGAUUCGACUCGUGGCAAACAAUGGCACGUAUGAAGGUGUAGAGUAUUUUCAAGCCAGACAUUCCACAUCAGGUUUUUUUAUACAACCGGGCAAAACCAAGUUUGGGAUAUCUUGCCUGCAAGCCAUCAAAAUGCGCUAUGGGCUAAUCGACGAUGAAUUAGCGGGCAUAUAUAGAGACGAAGUGUCGAGCUUAAGGAAAGAAAUCAAUGCACCGUUUUUAGAAUUUGUCGGCUUCUUCAAAGUGAAUAAGAAACAGAGCAAGUUUGACAAGCUAAAGAUAGUAUGGCUGAGGGAGCAAUGUGUAUCCAAUGCGGGAGAGCCACGGGAAUUGGAAGAACUGUGUUCUAAUUUGGAAGAAUUGGAUUUAUCUAGAAAUUUAAUAAACUCGUGGAAAAUCGUAGCAGAUAUAUGUUUCCAGCUUCAUUUCCUGAUGCGUCUUAACGUCAGUGAGAACCAUUUGCCUAUAGAAGAUGUGGCAGCAUUAAAAGAUUCGUUUCCAACAAUUAAGCAUUUAACUAUAGCUAAAAUGAAUUACAACUGGUCUGAUAUUCGGCUAUGAAUAUCCAUGUUUUCGUCGAUCAAAGAACUCUUAGUCUCUUUUAAUAUUGUCACAACCAUAGAAGACAUAACGCUUAGAAUAUCUUAAUUUGAAUUUAAUUAAAAUAGAUAGAAUUAGAUUUCUAUCUUCAACAUCAACAGAUAAGACUGCUUUGUUUCCAAUGCUAUGUCAUCUACAUACAUAUUUCAGAAAGCUACAUAUCAGAGUGGCAAUCGAUUAGCGAAUUAGAUAAAUUAUCAAAUCUAGAAAACUUGAAAUUCAAAGAAGAUCC
Long non-coding RNA from Temnothorax curvispinosus, 1042 nucleotides. RefSeq lists it as uncharacterized. The record is from RefSeq and is a predicted model, not a curated record. Lineage: Eukaryota; Metazoa; Arthropoda; Insecta; Hymenoptera; Formicidae. The transcript has 6 exons.